This 338-nucleotide ribosomal RNA is filed under the name uncultured bacterium. Its description in RNAcentral is "partial 16S ribosomal RNA". It matches the Rfam family "Bacterial small subunit ribosomal RNA", at positions 338 to 668 of the family's 1533-position model. The record is from RNAcentral.
CCUAGGGGUGGCAGCAGUAGGGAAUCUUCCACAAUGGGCGAAAGCCUGAUGGAGCAACGCCGCGUGGAUGAAGAAGGUCUUCGGAUCGUAAAACCCUGUUGUUAGAGAAGAAAGUGCGGGAGAGUAACUGUUCACGUUUCGACUGUAUCUAACCAGAAAGCCACGGCUAACUACGUGCCAGCAGCCGCGGUAAUACGGAGGUGGCGAGCGUUGUCCGGAUUUAUUGGGCGUAAAGGUACCGCAGGCGGUCUUUUAAGUCUGAUGUGAAAGCCUUCGGCUUAACCGGAGUAUUGCAUUGGAAACUGGGAGACUUGAGUGCAGAAGAGGAGGGUGGAACU